UUGGUUAAUAGAUGAUGCAUAACAGGGAAUAUCUUCAAAUUAUCCUUAAAUGAAUGAUAGAACAGCUCAACAACUUCAAAACUUGAUAUUGCAUGGACAGAAUAGAGGAAAUAAGGUAGAAGAAGAAAGAUAUGACUUAAAGAGUCUCACCCCAAGCCUAGGCUAGUAUCUAACCAUCCACCCUAGCCUCUCACCAGGAACAAAAUCUCAUUGCAGCUCUGUUUCUCGCAGAAGAAAGGUAUAAACUCAAUUCCAUUCAAAUUCUUAACUUUUUUAAAAUUCUUACAUGAAACCCUUUUAUUGAGUAGUUGGGAGAGUUCUAGACUUUCAUGGACUUUCUCUUAGACUUGAUGACCUUUACAUUUCCAAGGACUUACAUUGGGACUCUUUUCAAGAUGUUAAAUGAACUGUACAUUUUCAAGGUCUUUACAACUAACAAUGAAACUAACCUAUUGACAUCCCCAAGACUUCACAACUUUAGAGGACUAGAUACAAGUAACUGGUAAAUUCGUAUGAGCCACUUAUCCCUCAUAUAUGGGCUUUGAAA
This is a long non-coding RNA of Telopea speciosissima, 547 nucleotides long. RefSeq lists it as uncharacterized. The transcript has 3 exons. Lineage: Eukaryota; Viridiplantae; Streptophyta; Magnoliopsida; Proteales; Proteaceae. The record is from RefSeq and is a predicted model, not a curated record.